This 244-nucleotide unclassified non-coding RNA is filed under the name Athalia rosae (coleseed sawfly). RNAcentral describes it as "misc RNA ENSAEAG00005010172.1". The record is from RNAcentral. Lineage: Eukaryota; Metazoa; Arthropoda; Insecta; Hymenoptera; Athaliidae.
GGAAAGUUUUUUUUUUCUCUCAUUACAACGGGAAUAAUAACGUCGAGUUUUUUGUCUUUUUUUUGUGUUCUUUGAGAACUAAAAAAUUUAUAUACAUCUACAGCUUGUUAUAUUUAAUUAUGAGAUCAUACGACUAAUUAAUUGUCACUGCACUGCCGGCUUCCCUAGGCAGGAAGAAGCACAAAAUAGCACACGCUGUAAAAAUAAAAAAAUCACAGAUGAAAAUUCAGUUCUUCGAUCGGAC